RNAcentral lists this ribosomal RNA (465 nucleotides) under uncultured bacterium. RNAcentral describes it as "bacterial SSU rRNA". It matches the Rfam family "Bacterial small subunit ribosomal RNA", at positions 32 to 507 of the family's 1533-position model. The record is from RNAcentral.
AAUCAACGCUGGCGGCGUGCCUCAGACAUGCAAGUCGAACGAUUAAAGCUCUCUUCGGAGAGUGUAUAGAGUGGCGCACGGGUGAGUAACACGUAAGUAAUCUACCCUCGAGUGGGGAAUAACAACCGGAAACGGUUGCUAAUACCGCAUAAUGCAGCGGCACCGCAAGGUGACAGUUGUUAAAGAUUUAUCGCUUGAGGAGGAGCUUGCGGCAGAUUAGCUAGUUGGUAGGGUAACGGCUUACCAAGGCUACGAUCUGUAACCGGUCUAAGAGGACGGUCGGUCACACUGACACUGAAUAACGGGUCAGACUCCUACGGGAGGCAGCAGUCGGGAAUUUUGGGCAAUGGGCGAAAGCCUGACCCAGCAACGCCGCGUGAAGGAUGAAGUAUUUCGGUAUGUAAACUUCGAAAGAAUAGGAGGAAUUAAUGACGGUACUAUUUAUAAGGUCCGGCUAACUACGUG